AAACGACUCUCGGCAACGGAUAUCUCGGCUCACGCAUCGAUGAAGAACGUAGCAAAAUGCGAUACUUGGUGUGAAUUGCAGAAUCCCGUGAACCAUCGAGUUUUUGAACGCAAGUUGCGCCCGAAGCCUUGGCUAAGGGCACGUCUGCCUGGGCGUCACGU
This 161-nucleotide ribosomal RNA is filed under the name Sphagneticola trilobata. Its description in RNAcentral is "5.8S ribosomal RNA". It matches the Rfam family "5.8S ribosomal RNA". Rfam says of the family: 5.8S ribosomal RNA (5.8S rRNA) is a component of the large subunit of the eukaryotic ribosome. It is transcribed by RNA polymerase I as part of the 45S precursor that also contains 18S and 28S rRNA. The record is from RNAcentral. Lineage: Eukaryota; Viridiplantae; Streptophyta; Magnoliopsida; Asterales; Asteraceae.